Molecule: ribosomal RNA, 484 nt
Filed under: uncultured bacterium
Lineage: Bacteria
Description: partial 16S ribosomal RNA
Rfam family: Bacterial small subunit ribosomal RNA
Source: RNAcentral
GACGAACGCUGGAGGCGUGCUUAACACAUGCAAGUCGAACGAUGAAGCUGGAGCUUGCUCUGGCGGAUUAGUGGCGAACGGGUGAGUAACACGUGAGAAAUCUGCCCUUGACUCUGGGAUAACUGCGGGAAACUGUAGCUAAUACCGGAUACUUUCCCUGGUGGGCAUCCACUGGGGAAGAAAGAAUUUCGUUCAAGGAUGAUCUCGCGGCCUAUCAGCUUGUUGGUGAGGUAAUGGCUCACCAAGGCGACUACGGGUAGCCGGCCUGAGAGGGUGACCGGCCACAACGGGACUGAGACACGGCCCAGACUCCUACGGGAGGCAGCAGUGGGGAAUAUUGCAAAAUGGGCGCAAGCCUGAUGCAGCAACGCGGCGUGAGGGAUGAAGGCCUUCGGGUUGUAAACCUCUUUUAGCAGGGAAGAAGCGAAAGUGACGGUACCUGCAGAAAAAGCACCGGCUAACUACGUGCCAGCCGCCGCCGUAA